This 71-nucleotide ribosomal RNA is filed under the name Belnapia arida. RNAcentral describes it as "partial 16S ribosomal RNA". It matches the Rfam family "Bacterial small subunit ribosomal RNA", at positions 1463 to 1533 of the family's 1533-position model. The record is from RNAcentral. Lineage: Bacteria; Pseudomonadati; Pseudomonadota; Alphaproteobacteria; Acetobacterales; Roseomonadaceae.
UAGGGUCAGUGACUGGGGUGAAGUCGUAACAAGGUAGCCGUAGGGGAACCUGCGGCUGGAUCACCUCCUUU